Molecule: long non-coding RNA, 406 nt
Filed under: Hordeum vulgare
Lineage: Eukaryota; Viridiplantae; Streptophyta; Magnoliopsida; Poales; Poaceae
Description: long non-coding RNA (HVUL_LNC002258)
Source: RNAcentral
CCACCUCAUUUUAUAUAUAAAUCAAUCAUACAACAGAUUAUACGAACCAUGCAAAGUGCUGAUAAACUCUCAUACAACACCGAUCCCCGAGAUAACCGGAUCAAGCGAGACACACAUGACUACAUUACCGAAAUAGAGUAUCCGAGGAACUAAGUACAACGCCACACUAGAUCUGACACCACCUACACUCGACAAUGACUCCCUCACAAGGGAAAACAACGCCAAGCAUCGCCGCUGCCGAGUCCAUGAUGCACAAAGCACGGUAGAAGCAUGUGUUUCUCUUUGUCGUCAUGAUAGGCAUAUUUUUUUUUAUAUUGUUGAUCAUUGUUUUGAUUGCUUCAGUUUUUCCUCUCUCCGUCUAGGCAUAGCUUUCAUCUUCUCUUUUUCAAAAAGGCAGGAGUCCUGC